AUACGUAGGUGGCAAGCGUUAUCCGGAAUUAUUGGGCGUAAAGAGUGAGCAGGCGGUUAAUUAAGUCUGAGGUUAAAGCGUGGGGCUCAACCCCAUAAAGCCUUGGAAACUGAUUGACUAGAGUACGGGAGAAGUGAAGGGAACUCCAUGUGUAGCGGUGAAAUGUGUAGAUAUAUGGAAGAACACCAGUGGCGAAGGCGCUUCACUAGCCCGAAACUGACGCUCAGUCACGAAAGCGUGGGUAGCAAAUAGGAUUAGAUACCCUAGUAGUCCACGCUGUAAACGAUGACAACUAAAUAUUGCCGCGAGGCAGUGUUGAAGCUAACGCAUUAAGUUGUCCGCCUGGGGAGUACGGUCGCAAGACUGAAACUUAAAGGAAUUGACGGGG
Molecule: ribosomal RNA, 388 nt
Filed under: uncultured bacterium
Lineage: Bacteria
Description: partial 16S ribosomal RNA
Rfam family: Bacterial small subunit ribosomal RNA
Source: RNAcentral